Molecule: ribosomal RNA, 253 nt
Filed under: uncultured bacterium
Lineage: Bacteria
Description: partial 16S ribosomal RNA
Rfam family: Bacterial small subunit ribosomal RNA
Source: RNAcentral
CACGGGGGGAGCAAGCGUUGUUCGGAAUUACUGGGCGUAAAGGGUGCGUAGGCGGCGCCGUAAGUCAGGUGUGAAAUUUCGGAGCUUAACUCCGAAACUGCAUUUGAUACUACGGUGCUUGAGGACUGGAGAGGAGACUGGAAUUUACGGUGUAGCAGUGAAAUGCGUAGAGAUCGUAAGGAAGACCAGUGGCGAAGGCGGGUCUCUGGACAGUUCCUGACGCUGAGGCACGAAGGCCAGGGGAGCAAACGGG